GUAUGGCAGAGAGAAAGCUUAGCUCUAUAUCUCAUUGCUGCGUGCCUCAAUGUAACGGGGAUAGCAGACAGGACUUUUCCCUAUCAUUCCAUCGCUUCCCCAGGGAUCCUGUGUUCUGAAAACAAUGGAUCAUUAAAAUUAGGAGAGACGAAGAGCCAAACUUUAAGAUUACAGAUUCUACUUUUGUGUGCUACAGGCACUCAAAACCAGAUGAUAUUGUUAAAUCUUUAACUGGACUCAGAAAACUACGACAUGGAGUUUUACCAAGUGUAUUUCCCUAGUCAAAAAUAGCAUCUCCUCGAAAGCCCUCAAAGAGGAAACCUCCACCUCAGUGUGACAAUGCGACUGAAGAAAAGUUAACCACACUUGCCGUAAGCUCUACAAAAUCGUGCAUGCAGCCUCCGAGCCUUGAACACGAUUACUGUGUUGAGAAACCCUCACCAGAAGAAGAUCUUGAAGUAAGUUACAAAGGAUGUCUUAUGUUCUGUUUGUGAAUAUAAGUAUAUUUACAACUUUUCAAAAGUUUUUUUAUACCCCCACUUCAAAAGAGAGGGAAUUAAAGUUUUUUAAACUGUUUCAUCCCUGUGUG
Molecule: long non-coding RNA, 589 nt
Organism: Magallana angulata
Lineage: Eukaryota; Metazoa; Mollusca; Bivalvia; Ostreida; Ostreidae
Exons: 4
Source: RefSeq, a predicted model, not a curated record